RNAcentral lists this long non-coding RNA (1294 nucleotides) under Nothobranchius furzeri (turquoise killifish). RNAcentral's name for it is "lncRNA (ENSNFUG00015018278.1)". Lineage: Eukaryota; Metazoa; Chordata; Actinopteri; Cyprinodontiformes; Nothobranchiidae. The record is from RNAcentral.
GUUAACUUGUUCUGUCCUCCCUAUCCUUUCAGGUUCUAUUCAGUACUUGCUUUCUGCAAUAUCAGCGGAACCAUCAUCAACAUUCCAAUCCCACCGUUUGCCCCUGAUCGCCUGCUCUAUGCCACUCACCUGCCCACCUGCACCUCCUUGGUCUCCCUGCUCAGCCAGGCCUGGCAUACCCUCCCCGAAGAACCCAGCUCAUCCAGGAAACCAACCCAACGGAUCCAUUUCCUGUCCCUCGGAAGCAGCUUCUUACCUCACCAUACAAAUAAACCAUUUUUUACUUACCUUCCAACUCCUGGUGGUGAUUCUUCAUGUCGUGGGUUAAGAAAUUGCCUUCAAACAUGACAGACUGCAGAGUCUUGACCUGAAGAGGUAGCUCUCCUGUGUUGUGCCAUGCUCUUGUGUAAUUGUUGUUUAGUUCCUCCAAUGUAAAGAUCUGGACAGUCCUCACUAUACUGGACUGCAUAAAUGACGCCACUGAGCUUCUGUUUGGGUGUUUUGUCUUCUGGAUGGACCAGGUUCUGUCUGAGGGUGUUGUUGGGUUUAAGUUUUCCGGGAUGUUGUGUUUGGAGAAGAUUCUUCUAAGUUUCUCUGAGACUCCCGCCACGUAUGUGAUGAUGGUGCCUUUGUGUAAAGGGUGUUGUUGUUAGGUUGGUAGCAGAGCUCUCAUGUUUAGUGUUAAGUUCAGUGAGAUCAUGGAAUGGGAUCAAGAAUUUUCUACUGACAGGAAAAAGAUCUCAGCUAACAUAGCUGUAGAUCACACUGGUUAAGUCUCUUUGGUUACAUUUAUUUUACUGCCUCUUACUAGAGCUUUGUUUAGUGAGCACAACAUUAGUUUGGUUGUACACCUGUGCAAUGAUAAUAAAUGAUCUUGAAUACUGUUAAAUGUACUAACCCUAACCCUUUUAAGUCUAAAAUAACAAAACGACCAAUACAGACAGAAGGACAACCUCUUUUAUAAUGCGUUGCAUCACCACCUGGUAUCAGAACAGGACUCAGUAUUGGAAGAUAAUCAAAAAUCCAACAACUUGGACUCAGAUCAGGGGCAAAAAUGUGGUUGUAACAUCUCUAGGUGUAAGUCAGCUUUAAACAGAAUUAUUUAUGAACUGACAUAAACUUCAAUUAAUGACAACAAAUGAUAUAUUUUUCCUACUUUAUUUUGUUAUUUGAAACCAAGGGUCUCAUUAUUUGAAACUAGUCGGAUCGUGAAUCUGUUUAAAAGCUUUGCUCUAUAGGUGCCCCUUUUUUUUUACUUUGAGCGCCCGCCCCUUCAAAGGCCUCUGCACGGCCC